This 1376-nucleotide long non-coding RNA is filed under the name Anolis carolinensis (green anole). Its description in RNAcentral is "lncRNA (ENSACAG00000035274.1)". The record is from RNAcentral. Lineage: Eukaryota; Metazoa; Chordata; Lepidosauria; Squamata; Anolidae.
CUCCGGCCAAAAGAGGCGCGGGCGGGGAGAGAGCGGCCAACUCCGCCAGAGAGAGAAGGAGAGGGAGGGAAAGGAGGGAUGUGCCUCCGCACACACGUUGCCCAGAGCGAAAUGCGCGCUCCUCCCUCAAGUCAAGGAGUUGCCAUACAAAACGCGCCCUGCUCCGCACACGAGGCGCAUCUCUUCUCGCCCCCUCACAAGCCCCAACGCAGGGAGAAAGCAGGCUCGACGGUAUUCCGGGUUUAAAUGUCGAAAUUCAAAAGCGGCUGAGGGGAAGCUGAAACUUUUUUUCCCCUCACGCUCCACGGCGGGAAUGUUGCCCCAAAGCUGCGGCCACAGAAAAAAAGAGAAAGGGGCGGGGAGGCGAGGCGGCGCAGGGUGCCUCCAAGUGGGGCCAAAAGUUUCUCCUCCUCCUCUCCUCUGCCUCUCCUCCUCCUCGUCCUCCUCCUCGGCGCAGCUUCUCCGCAGCCGCCCAGCUCCGCCGCCAGCCGCACAAGGGAAGGAAAAAGAGAGAAACACACGCGGGCGAGUCGGGUGUGCGCGGACGGAGAUUGACAAGCCUCUCCUCCAAUCCAAGGGAGGCGCCGGCCCGGAGUGUGUGGGGCUAACAAAUCUAUGGCUGUUCAGACACUCUGCCCAUAAAUCCCUGUUCAUGGGCACUAGAUCACUCCAAGCAGCUAUGAAAGCUUAUACAAUUUCUACAAUAUCUUUCUCUCAGUCUCAAAGUGUUUAUUGAGUUUUCGACGUUAAAUACAGUGAAAGUGUGAGAACAAAAUGUGUUGCAAAAGAAAAGAGUGAAACAUAGCCAAAAAGGAAAAAGGAGGAACGGGGGCAGAGAGGGAGAAAAAGAUAGAACAAAAAGAGAAAAAAAACCUCGACUUCCCAUCAGUCUCUCAAGGGUGCAAAACUCGUCAUUUGCAGUUCUUCUAUCCAUCAAUUCCAAGCUACCCGAUUCUGCCGCCUGCUUUAUAAACCAGACGUAUCUAUUAAAAAUGUAUUUCCAUUCUUCUGAAUAAAGUCUCUAAAACCUGACCAAUCAGUUUUCUUAUUCCCGUCACUCAAUUUUUGACUCAGAAAGUCCAUCUGUAUUAUGUCCAAUACUUUGAGGACCCAAUCGUCUAUGUUUGGUAUUUUCUUUUCUUUCCAUACUUUCGCUAAUACAAGUCUUGCUGCAGUGCUCAGAUGAAAAAAAAAAUCUAUCUUGGCUUUCAUUCAAUUUGGAAUUUGUUAAGCCCAAUAGGUACAUUUUAGGAUCUAAUUAAAAUUUUAUUUUUAAUAUUUCUUGCGUCUUUUGGUGGAUCUUAUCCCAAUUUUUUUAAACUUUUUUGCAUUCCCACCAUUGAUAUAUAAACGUUCCGAUUUUUCUUCCACAUUUC